This is a long non-coding RNA of Malaya genurostris, 1147 nucleotides long. RefSeq lists it as uncharacterized. The transcript is spliced from 2 exons. The record is from RefSeq and is a predicted model, not a curated record. Lineage: Eukaryota; Metazoa; Arthropoda; Insecta; Diptera; Culicidae.
UCUUUUUCAAAACAUUCAGGGGUCCUCAUUUCAACUUUCGCUUUGGAAAUUAACUUGAUUUGCCAAAUGUUUACACAAUAUAUAUAUUUUAACCAAAUAGUCUAUUAAUCUUUUUACAAAUCUCUUUGAAAUAAUGUUAAUUGCAACAGUGAUAAUCCAAGGAUAAUGUAAACAAAGAGAGUCACUUAAUCGCAGAUAGCUAUCUUUUACUCGAAUGAAGUAUUAUGAUCUGUCAAAAGGAAGGCUCAAAUUAUAAAUAAUCAAGAGUCGGAAUUCAAAAUAUCGAUCAGUCGAAAAUGUAAUUAUACGAUUGUUGAUCCUGCAAUAUAUCAACUAUGGAUAUUACAUAGUUGUCUACUGAAGCCGUCACUAUACUCAAACAAAAAGUAAACAUGAUGGCACACUGAGGAUAGUGUACAUAAGAAAAUCAUAAGUGGAAUCUUAUGAUUGGGUUGAGUUUUAUGUUUUCAACCAUUUCAUUGCUGCAUAUGUUUUUUUACAUAUCAAUUUAAGUUCGAGUUGUAUACGAUACACGUGUACAUUUCACAUGACAGCACAAUAAAAUUUAAUAUUCCAUCUUGCGAGAAAAAAAAAAUCAGAUGAAGUGAACUAAACAGGUUGAAAAUGGCUUCCGCAGAUGAAUUACUUCAAGAUCUUACGAUUCGGGCUAGUGCGUUACAAAUAUUAAUAUAUUACUAAUCUAUUCAAUCCGUGGUACAUUCAAUUCGAAGGAAAUAUUACUUACAGAAUGCGGAGUGGACAUACUACUCACUUACUUAAAUGGUGCACAUCUCGUCUCCGGAACAUAACCGAACGAGUUGUAGAUUUCCAGAUACUCGACCGCCGUUAUCCAGUCGCUCUGUACUCCUCUGCACUCACAUUUUCCUCAAUUGCACGCGCCAGGGAGAGCGAGAUCUGCACCGCAAUCGACGAUCUUUUCUAGGUUCUCUGCUGAGGAUCACAUAGGCCAUUUUAUCUUCCUGCAUUCUUGCUACAUGUCCAGUCCAUGCCAUGUUUUAUAAUUCAUCCGUAGAAAGUCCUAUUAGCAGAUUGGAACAUGUUCGUUGUUACAUUUGGAAUGUAAUUUUGAGUUAGCGCAGCCGUAAUGUAAAAAAUGGGUGAUAUAAGUUAUAUAUAAUCCUGUAAA